RNAcentral lists this ribosomal RNA (520 nucleotides) under Tubakia sp. PQA16. Its description in RNAcentral is "eukaryotic LSU rRNA". It matches the Rfam family "Eukaryotic large subunit ribosomal RNA", at positions 63 to 605 of the family's 3401-position model. Lineage: Eukaryota; Fungi; Ascomycota; Sordariomycetes; Diaporthales; Tubakiaceae. The record is from RNAcentral.
AACCAACAGGGAUUGCCCCAGUAACGGCGAGUGAAGCGGCAACAGCUCAAAUUUGAAAUCUGGCUUCGGCCCGAGUUGUAAUUUGCAGAGGAUGCUUUUGGUGCGGUGCCUUCCGAGUUCCCUGGAACGGGACGCCACAGAGGGUGAGAGCCCCGUAUGGUCGGACACCAAUCCUGUGUAAAGCUCCUUCGACGAGUCGAGUAGUUUGGGAAUGCUGCUCUAAAUGGGAGGUAAAUCUCUUCUAAAGCUAAAUACCGGCCAGAGACCGAUAGCGCACAAGUAGAGUGAUCGAAAGAUGAAAAGCACCUUGAAAAGGGGGUUAAACAGUACGUGAAAUUGUUGAAAGGGAAGCACUUGUGACCAGACUUGGGCCGGGCGGCUCAUCAGGGGUUCUCCCCUGUGCAUUCCGCCCGGUACAGGCCAGCAUCGGUUCUUACCGGGGGAUAAGAACGGCAGGAACGUGGCUCCCUCUCGGGGGAGUGUUAUAGCCUGCCGUACGAUACCCUGGCGGGGACCGAGG